GGCACACGGGCUGCAGGCAUAG
RNAcentral lists this microRNA (22 nucleotides) under Hordeum vulgare. Its description in RNAcentral is "hvu-miR6206". Lineage: Eukaryota; Viridiplantae; Streptophyta; Magnoliopsida; Poales; Poaceae. The record is from miRBase by way of RNAcentral.